This 119-nucleotide ribosomal RNA is filed under the name Octodon degus (degu). Lineage: Eukaryota; Metazoa; Chordata; Mammalia; Rodentia; Octodontidae. The record is from RNAcentral.
GUCUACGGCCCUACCACCCUGAACGUGCCCCAUCUCGUCUGAUCUUGGAGGCUAAGCAGAGUCAGGCCUGGCAAAUGCUUGGAUGGGAGAGUUCCAUGGUUAAUUCUGUGUUCUCAAUU